UUCCUUCUUCUUUAACAAAGCCAGAAGAAAAUUUUGCAUCGCCUCCGUCACUCCCACACCACCAUCUCCAUCGCUCCAUCACCACCACCAUCGUGAUCGCCUCCACCACAACCAGCACCACCACCUCCAUCACGCCUGCAACUACUAUUAACAGGUUAAAGGUUGAUUUUCUAUCAUUGAUCCAAUUUCUUAUUAAUUGUUCUUCUAGGUUAAACAUUUGAUUUUCGAAUCCAGAUUUAGACAUCGUUCUGUCUUUUUGUUUUUCUCGAUUUUAUAUUUUCGAGUUGGAGAUUCACACUAAUGAUUACGUUUUCAAUUUUCAGAUCUGAAAAAUUGAUGAUAUGGUUUGAGAUUUUUAAAGAUAGAUCGAUGUAAUCUAUAAUAGAAAUCGACAUGAUGAUUAGAUCGAAAGGUGAACAAAUCGAUUAGGUGUUUUCAUUUUUUAUGAUUUUGAUUCAAUAAACUUCAGCAAAAUCAAAAUUUUAAGUGUUUACUGUAAUUUAGUUGAUUUCAAGUGUUUACAGUGAUUUAGUUGAUUUCGAAUCCCUAAUGUUGGAUUUCAUUUUUUUGCAGAUUGAUAAUAGAUUCAUCGAAUUGAUUAUGCUUUAAUUCUUUAUUUUGAUUGUAUUGACUCAUUGAAGUAGAGUCGAACGGGAUUUUUUAUUAGAUCUUCAAAUUGUUAUUUGGAUAUGUGUCUGGUGAUAGAGUAGUAUCAUUUUUUGUGAUGGUGGUAUUGGUGUUGCGUGUGUAGUAAUGUUGAUUGGAUUUAGUUCUUGUUUUGAUUAUAAUUGGUGAUUGGAAGAGGUGAAAUUGGUGGGGUUCUGAAGUUGGUGAGCGUGUAAAUUAGUGGGAUUAGUAAAGUUGGUUGACAAGGGUGGAUUUUAGAGGUGGUGUUGGUUAUGGAAUUGGAGUUGGAGGUGAUUUUUGUUAAUGUAAAUUGUUGGUAGUAGUGGACUUGAUGGUGGCGGAGAUAUUAGAAGGUAACGCUGGUGGAAACAUAGGAUUAGGUGGUGGAGCAGAGGUACUUCUCUGGUGGUGAUGGAAUGGGUAGAGGUUUGGUGGUGCAUGUGGUAGAUGAGAGGUGGAGGGGGUGCUAGUGGUGGAAUCGGGUAGGUGGUGAGGUUGGAUUAUUGUAGUAAUUCAAGAUUUAGUGAUGGAGGAUUUGGUGAAGGUUUAUGAUCUAUAUUUUGAUACUGGAUCAACUAAUUGGAAGACAAACAUGCUCACAUCCUUAUUGCUAAUGGUGCUUCUGACUGUUGAUCUAUACGUGCUUCAUCAUUGCUGCUGGAGUACCUUAAAAACUGUGUUGCUGCUUGCUAUUUGACUGUCAGAAAUUGUGCAUUUGACUGAUGCCAGGACUUUUAUUUCAGUGAACUGAAUGAAUAACUUAAACACUAUUCCCAAGAGCAUAACGGAGUUGAUAAGGAUGGCUAACCAGUUUUUGCAUUUGGAUUCUCUUCUAUAUAUUUUCAGCAAUGCUGGAGGUAGUGGAUGUCGCAGUGGAGGUGGUUUGUUGUGUUAGCAAUUAGUGAUGGUAGUGGAUGUUGCAGUUGUGGUGGGGGUAGUUGCGGGAGACAAUAUUAACUUAUGUUGGAGGUGGUUUGUUGUGUUAGCAGUUGGUGAUGGUAGUUGGAUGCGCGUGAACUACUAGGUAUGUAUGGGUUACAGGCCAUGAACAUCUGUAUGGUUUUAUACAUCAAUAGGUGUACUAUAUCUAUUUUUGGAUGUGAUUUUGAUAUUUCAUUUUGCAUUAACGAACCUGUGGUGCAUCGUUAGCACGACUGACUCCAUAUCAGAUGAUGUGUGUUCGACUCACGCCAGGUUCACUUUUUUGUGUAUACUUUUCCUUUGUAGACAAUUUGAGCUAGUUGGCUCCAUUUUUGUUUUGCAACUUAUUCCUGCACACUA
Molecule: long non-coding RNA, 1908 nt
Organism: Papaver somniferum (opium poppy)
Lineage: Eukaryota; Viridiplantae; Streptophyta; Magnoliopsida; Ranunculales; Papaveraceae
Exons: 4
Source: RefSeq, a predicted model, not a curated record